Molecule: ribosomal RNA, 269 nt
Filed under: uncultured bacterium
Lineage: Bacteria
Description: partial 16S ribosomal RNA
Rfam family: Bacterial small subunit ribosomal RNA
Source: RNAcentral
GAGUUUGAUCGUGGCUCAGGAUGAACGCUAGCGACAGGCUUAACACAUGCAAGUCGAGGGGCAGCGGGGGCGAAAGCUUGCUUUCGCCUGCCGGCGACCGGCGCACGGGUGAGUAACACGUAUGCAACCUGCCCGCAGCAGGGGGAUAAGCCGGAGAAAUCCGGUCUAAUACCGCGUAAAACCCUGAGGGGACAUCCUCUUGGGGUCAAAGGAGCAAUCCGGCUGCGGAUGGGCAUGCGUCGCAUUAGGCAGUUGGCGGGUAACGCCCA